Long non-coding RNA from Eptesicus fuscus (big brown bat), 848 nucleotides. RefSeq lists it as uncharacterized. The transcript is spliced from 2 exons. NCBI's taxonomy places the organism in Eukaryota, Metazoa, Chordata, Mammalia, Chiroptera, Vespertilionidae. The record is from RefSeq and is a predicted model, not a curated record.
CUUGGAAGAUGGAAUGGGUCUGACUGUCCCUUCAGUGGUAGCGCAGAGGAGGGCCAGAGGUGUAGGCAGAGCUCGGGGGGCCUUGCUGGGCUCAGGACACGGGUGUGAGCUGGUGGUGGCCUACACCAGAGCGGAAGUCACGGACACGGAUUCUCCGGUCGUGCAGGCCGUGGAACUGGCAGUACCCGGUGGCCGGCCACGGCGCGGUGCAGCCCCGGUCCCUCUGCUUCUGCGUCCAGUUUUGCGCAUGUUUCUGGUGGUGGCGGCCCGGACCCCAGGCCAGCGGAGACGGAGACAGAAUGCCUGGCAAGCAGGGCUGCCUAAGUCAGCUUUGUCUCCCCAGAGCCCAGGACCAUGCUGGACACAUAGGAUCCUGCAGGACGUGAUGCAAAGGCUGGUGUCAGAGGGACAGGCUCAAGCAGAAGGACUCCAGGCUCCAGCAAAAGGCAGGAGAACGUGGUGUCCUGGACAGUGCGCAGACGGUGGAGGUCGGAGCUGUGUGGCCUUACGCAGGUUCUUAACCUCUCUGGGCCGCUGUGCUUUCCUCUGUGAAAUGAGGCCCAGAAUCCCUGCCUGUCAGGAUGCUGUGAGAUCAGAGAUCUGCAUGUAGAGAAGAAAUACUUCUGGAAGAUUCUCCGGGAAGAUGCGGAUCAUUGGGAUGGCAUAAACGAACCCCACUCAGAAGGAAAACUACGCCCUGGAUUGGGGAGAUGACCUGUCAUGUGAAAUAUGCAUGUGUCCUCUGGGGUGUGGGGGUGUCGGUGGGUGGUUUGAAAAGCUCCUGCUCUCCAAAGUAGACAGCUCCGGGUGCCCCAUUUCCAUAAAUAAAACCCUCCGUUUCUUCCAGG